Alexandromys fortis (reed vole) is the source of this 285-nucleotide long non-coding RNA. RefSeq lists it as uncharacterized. The transcript has 3 exons. Lineage: Eukaryota; Metazoa; Chordata; Mammalia; Rodentia; Cricetidae. The record is from RefSeq and is a predicted model, not a curated record.
CUAGGCUGACUGUCCAUCCAGCAAUUAUAGGUAGACCGGAAGCUACAUUUUAACAGCCACAAAGGACACAUCACCAUGAAUCAUUUGCAGAUAUUCCUACUUUCUGCCACAGCUAGGACCUCCAGAACUAUAUUGAAUAGAUAUGAAGAGAGUGGACAAUCUUGUCUUGUGCCUGAUUUCAGUCGACUCACUGUCAAUCCUCAUGCCCCCACUACAAAAGAAGAAGAAGGAGGAGCAGGAGCAGGAGGAGGAGGAGGAGGAGGAGGAGGAGGAGGAGGAGAAGGA